Molecule: ribosomal RNA, 803 nt
Filed under: uncultured crenarchaeote
Lineage: Archaea; Thermoproteati; Thermoproteota
Description: bacterial SSU rRNA
Rfam family: Archaeal small subunit ribosomal RNA
Source: RNAcentral
GCCAUGCGAGUCAUUGUAGUAAUACAAGGCAGACGGCUCAGUAACGCGUAGUCAAUCUACCCUAUAGACGGGGAUAACCUCGGGAAACUGAGAAUAAUACCCGAUAGAACAUUAUGCCUGGAAUGGUUUAUGUUUUAAAUGAUUUAUCGCUGUAGGAUGGGACUGCGGCCUAUCAGUUUGUUGGUGAGGUAAUGGCCCACCAAGACUAUUACAGGUACGGGCUCUGAGAGGAGUGGCCCGGAGAUGGGUACUGAGACACGGACCCAGGCCCUAUGGGGCGCAGCAGGCGAGAAAACUUUGCAAUGUGCGAAAGCACGACAAGGUUAAUCCGAGUGGUUUCUGCUAAAGAAACCUUUUGCUAGUCCUAGAAACACUAGUGAAUAAGGGGUGGGCAAGUUCUGGUGUCAGCCGCCGCGGUAAAACCAGCACCUCAAGUGGUCAGGAUGGUUUAUUGGGGCCUAAAGCAUCCGUAGCUCGUUUUGUAAGUUUUCGGUUAAAUCCAUACGCUCAACGUAUGGGCUGCCGGGAAUACUGCAUAACUAGGAAGUGGGAGAGGUAGACGGUACUCGGUAGGAAGGGGUAAAAUCCUUUGAUCUAUUGAUGACCACCUGUGGCGAAAGGCGGUCUACCAGAACACGUUCGACGGUGAGGGAUGAAAGCUGGGGGAGCAAACCGGAUUAGAUACCCGGGUAGUCCCAGCUGUAAACUAUGCAAACUCAGUGAUGCAUUGGCUUGUKGCCAAUGCAGUGCUGCAGGAAGCGUAAGUUUGCCGCCUGGCAGUACGUACGCAGUAUGAAACUAAG